Cyprinus carpio carpio is the source of this 864-nucleotide long non-coding RNA. The record is from Ensembl. Lineage: Eukaryota; Metazoa; Chordata; Actinopteri; Cypriniformes; Cyprinidae.
AAUAGAGAGACCAAAAAUGGAACGACAUAAGAGAAUUGGUGAAUCUGCCGAGAGUUCCACGUGCUUCAAAUCAAAUGCCAUGCUGGCUUUGCUGCUGUAACUGACAGUAAAGGAAAGGAAAGGAAGGGACGUGACGUGUGGCCACGCAUGGUGUUCCAAACUUGGAAUUUGUGCACUGUAUUUAACCCAUCCAAGUGCACACACACAGAAGUGGAUCCCUGAUGCUUGGCUGUUGGAGUCACAGUUGGCUACAGUGGCUUUGGCAGCACUUCCCAGUUUGAGACAUUUGGAUGACAAGUUGUGACUGUAAUUUCAUAAGAGGCCACCCAGGAUAGACUUAUUGGUGAGAGGAAAUAUCUUCUAGCCGUCCAGAUCUUUGUAGUCCCUCACCAGCAGGUUUUCCAGUUGAUGGAAAAUCUUUGUCUCUUUUUCCUUCCUGUAAACAAAGGACUUUACCUCCGUUGCCAUUUUCAUAUAUUAUUGGUCCCUAUAGCAGCAGUAAAUUAGAAUGUUGCAAUUUAUCGUUCUUGUGUUGCUUUUCUUACUGUUGCUCAUUGCAAAAUCACGAAAACAAAACUGUUGUGAUUUUUGGGCCAAUAGCAUGAUUUAAUGCACCAGUCAAAUAAACAAGUUAAUAUUGAGUCACUUACAUUUUACAUACAAUGUUGACAAAUAAACUUUUCCACAUCUCCAAGCAACACUAUUCCUAAAUGUGUGGUUUUGAACAAAUCGGUUGAUCAAAAGUUUCAGUGUCUCAUUUAAAAAAGGCAAUUGUUUUGCCCCUGAAUGAAUCACAGUUUAUGAACAAAUUGGUUCAGUUAAUGAUUUAAUGACUCGCUCAUUAUCACCCAGUGGUGUAACUAU